ACGCCGCGUGAGUGAUGAAGGUUUUCGGAUCGUAAAGCUCUGUUGUUAGGGAAGAACAAGUACCGUUCGAAUAGGGCGGUACCUUGACGGUACCUAACCAGAAAGCCACGGCUAACUACGUGCCAGCAGCCGCGGUAAUACGUAGGUGGCAAGCGUUGUCCGGAAUUAUUGGGCGUAAAGGGCUCGCAGGCGGUUUCUUAAGUCUGAUGUGAAAGCCCCCGGCUCAACCGGGGAGGGUCAUUGGAAACUGGGGAACUUGAGUGCAGAAGAGGAGAGUGGAAUUCCACGUGUAGCGGUGAAAUGCGUAGAGAUGUGGAGGAACACCAGUGGCGAAGGCGACUCUCUGGUCUGUAACUGACGCUGAGGAGCGAAAGCGUGGGGAGCGAACGAGGAUUAGAUACCCUGGUAGUCCACGCCGUAAACGAUGAGUGCUAAGUGUUAGGGGGUUUCCGCCCCUUAGUGCUGCAGCUAA
RNAcentral lists this ribosomal RNA (472 nucleotides) under Bacillus tequilensis. RNAcentral describes it as "bacterial SSU rRNA". It matches the Rfam family "Bacterial small subunit ribosomal RNA", at positions 394 to 855 of the family's 1533-position model. The record is from RNAcentral. Lineage: Bacteria; Bacillati; Bacillota; Bacilli; Caryophanales; Bacillaceae.